RNAcentral lists this ribosomal RNA (250 nucleotides) under uncultured bacterium. RNAcentral's name for it is "partial 16S ribosomal RNA". It matches the Rfam family "Bacterial small subunit ribosomal RNA", at positions 796 to 1041 of the family's 1533-position model. The record is from RNAcentral.
CACGCCGUAAACGAUGAUAACUAGCUGUCUGGGCUCACAGAGUUCAGGUGGCGCAGCUAACGCAUUAAGUUAUCCGCCUGGGGAGUACGGUCGCAAGAUUAAAACUCAAAGGAAUUGACGGGGGCCUGCACAAGCGGUGGAGCAUGUGGUUUAAUUCGAAGCAACGCGCAGAACCUUACCAACGUUUGACAUCCUUAUCGCGGUUAGAGGAGACUCUUUCCUUCAGUUCGGCUGGAUAAGUGACAGGUGC